RNAcentral lists this ribosomal RNA (484 nucleotides) under uncultured bacterium. RNAcentral's name for it is "partial 16S ribosomal RNA". It matches the Rfam family "Bacterial small subunit ribosomal RNA", at positions 30 to 507 of the family's 1533-position model. The record is from RNAcentral.
AUUGAACGCUGGCGGCAGGCCUAACACAUGCAAGUCGAGCGGAUGAAGGGAGCUUGCUCCUGGAUUCAGCGGCGGACGGGUGAGUAAUGCCUAGGAAUCUGCCUGGUAGUGGGGGAUAACGUCCGGAAACGGGCGCUAAUACCGCAUACGUCCUGAGGGAGAAAGUGGGGGAUCUUCGGACCUCACGCUAUCAGAUGAGCCUAGGUCGGAUUAGCUAGUUGGUGGGGUAAAGGCCUACCAAGGCGACGAUCCGUAACUGGUCUGAGAGGAUGAUCAGUCACACUGGAACAGAGACACGGUCCAGACUCCUACGGGAGGCAGCAUUGGGGAAUAUUGGACAAUGGGCGAAAGCCUGAUCCAGCCAUGCCGCGUGUGUGAAGAAGGUCUUCGGAUUGUAAAGCACUUUAAGUUGGGAGGAAGGGCAGUAAGUUAAUACCUUGCUGUUUUGACGUUACCAACAGAAUAAGCAGCGGCUAACUUCGUG